AUUCCUACGGGAGGCAGCAGUAGGGAAUCUUCCGCAAUGGACGAAAGUCUGACGGAGCAACGCCGCGUGAACGAUGAAGGCCUUCGGGUCGUAAAGUUCUGUUGUUAGGGAAGAACAAGUACCAGAGUAACUGCUGGUACCUUGACGGUACCUAACCAGAAAGCCACGGCUAACUACGUGCCAGCAGCCGCGGUAAUACGUAGGUGGCAAGCGUUGUCCGGAAUUAUUGGGCGUAAAGCGCGCGCAGGCGGUUUCUUAAGUCUGAUGUGAAAGCCCACGGCUCAACCGUGGAGGGUCAUUGGAAACUGGGAAACUUGAGUGCAGAAGAGGAGAGUGGAAUUCCACGUGUAGCGGUGAAAUGCGUAGAGAUGUGGAGGAACACCAGUGGCGAAGGCGACUCUCUGGUCUGUAACUGACGCUGAGGCGCGAAAGCGUGGGGAGCGAACAGGAUUAGAUACCCUGGUAGUCCACGCCGUAAACGAUGAGUGCUAAGUGUUAGAGGGUUUCCGCCCUUUAGUGCUGCAGCAAACGCAUUAAGCACUCCGCCUGGGGAGUACGGUCGCAAGACUGAAACUCAAAGGAAUUGACGGAAU
RNAcentral lists this ribosomal RNA (593 nucleotides) under uncultured bacterium. Its description in RNAcentral is "bacterial SSU rRNA". It matches the Rfam family "Bacterial small subunit ribosomal RNA", at positions 335 to 919 of the family's 1533-position model. The record is from RNAcentral.